GAUGAACGCUGGCGGCGUGCUUAACACAUGCAAGUCGAACGUGAAGCAUGAAAAAGUUCCAUCGUGUUCUUUUUUAUUGUGGAAAGUGGCGAACGGGUGAGUAACACGUAGGUGACCUGCCUCGGAGUGGGGGAUAACCAUUAGAAAUGAUGGCUAAUACCGCAUGCACCUAGAACAUCGGGAGUACUCUAGGUAAAACUCCGGUGCUCCGAGAGGGGCCUGCGCUCGAUUAGCUAGUUGGUGAGGUAAAGGCUCACCAAGGCGAUGAUCGAUAGCUGGUCUGAGAGGACGACCAGCCACACGGGAACUGAGACACGGUCCCGACUCCUACGGGGGGCAGCAGUGAGGAAUAUUGCACAAUGGGGGCAACCCUGAUGCAGCAACGCCGCGUGGAGGAUGAAGGUCUUUGGAUUGUAAACUCCUUUUCUGUGGGAAGAGCAAGGACGGUACCACAGGAAUAAGUCACGGCUAACUACG
Molecule: ribosomal RNA, 477 nt
Filed under: uncultured Caldilineaceae bacterium
Lineage: Bacteria; Bacillati; Chloroflexota; Caldilineae; Caldilineales; Caldilineaceae
Description: bacterial SSU rRNA
Rfam family: Bacterial small subunit ribosomal RNA
Source: RNAcentral